This 833-nucleotide ribosomal RNA is filed under the name Sordariomycetes sp. genotype 499. RNAcentral describes it as "eukaryotic LSU rRNA". The stretch from base 251 to 833 matches the Rfam family "Eukaryotic large subunit ribosomal RNA", at positions 1 to 592 of the family's 3401-position model. Lineage: Eukaryota; Fungi; Ascomycota; Sordariomycetes. The record is from RNAcentral.
AAUCAUCGAAUCUUUGAACGCACAUUGCGCCCGCCAGUAUUCUGGCGGGCAUGCCUGUUCGAGCGUCAUUUCAACCCUCAAGCCCGCUGCGCGCUUGGUGUUGGGGACCGGCUCGCCCGCCUCGCGGCGGCGGCCGCCCCUGAAAUGAAUCGGCGGUCUCGUCGCAGCCUCCUUUGCGUAGUAACACACCACCUCGCAACCGGGAGCGCGGCGCGGCCACUGCCGUAAAACGCCCAACUUCUCCAAGAGUUGACCUCGAAUCAGGUAGGACUACCCGCUGAACUUAAGCAUAUCAAUAAGCGGAGGAAAAGAAACCAACAGGGAUUGCCCCAGUAACGGCGAGUGAAGCGGCAACAGCUCAAAUUUGAAAUCUGGCCCCCCGGGGCCCGAGUUGUAAUUUGCAGAGGAUGCUUUUGGCGAGGCGCCUUCCGAGUUCCCUGGAACGGGACGCCACAGAGGGUGAGAGCCCCGUCUGGUCGGAUGCCGAGCCUCUGUAAAGCUCCUUCGACGAGUCGAGUAGUUUGGGAAUGCUGCUCUAAAUGGGAGGUAUAUGUCUUCUAAAGCUAAAUAUUGGCCAGAGACCGAUAGCGCACAAGUAGAGUGAUCGAAAGAUGAAAAGCACUUUGAAAAGAGGGUUAAAUAGUACGUGAAAUUGUUGAAAGGGAAGCGCUCAUGACCAGACUUGGGCCCGGUGAAUCAUCCAGCGUUCUCGCUGGUGCACUUUGCCGGGCUCAGGCCAGCAUCAGUUUGCCCCGGGGGAUAAAGGCUCUGGGAAUGUGGCUCCUCCGGGAGUGUUAUAGCCCUCUGCGCAAUGCCCUGGGGCGGACUGAGGU